CAAGUCUCCUGAAGGAACGUUGAAGACGACGACGUUGAUAGGCCGGGUGUGUAAGCGCAGCGAUGCGUUGAGCUAACCGGUACUAAUGAACCGUGAGGCUUAACCUUACAACGCCGAAG
RNAcentral lists this ribosomal RNA (119 nucleotides) under Salmonella enterica. RNAcentral describes it as "partial 23S ribosomal RNA". The stretch from base 1 to 107 matches the Rfam family "Bacterial large subunit ribosomal RNA", at positions 2820 to 2925 of the family's 2925-position model. Lineage: Bacteria; Pseudomonadati; Pseudomonadota; Gammaproteobacteria; Enterobacterales; Enterobacteriaceae. The record is from RNAcentral. RNAcentral also lists the same sequence under 2 other names.